Molecule: ribosomal RNA, 573 nt
Filed under: uncultured archaeon
Lineage: Archaea
Description: bacterial SSU rRNA
Rfam family: Archaeal small subunit ribosomal RNA
Source: RNAcentral
GCUGCUAUUGGGAUUCGACUAAGCCAUGCAAAGUCCAGGCUCCGCAAGGAACCGGCCAGAAUGCUCAGUAACACGUCGACAACCUGCCCUAUGCUCUGGGAUAACCUUGGGAAACUGAGGAUAAUACCGGAUAGAGGUUGAUAUCUGCAAUGAUACUUCCUUGAAACGAUUACGGCAUAGGAUGGGUCGGCGGCCGAUUAGGCUGUUGGCGGGGUAACGGCCCACCAAACCGAAGAUCGGUACGGGCCAUGAGAGUGGUAGCCCGGAGAGGGACCCUGAGAUACUGGUCCUAGACCCUACGGGGUGCAGCAGGCGCGAAACCUUUACAAUGCACGAAAGUGUGAUAAGGGGAUCCCAAGUGCUCAUGCUUUGCAUGGGCUUUUGCCAAGAGCAAAAACCUUGGCGAAUAAGUGGUGGGUAAGACUGGUGCCAGACCGCCGCGGUAACACCAGCGCCACGAGUGGGAACUCAAUUUUAUUGGGCCUAAAGCGUCCGUAGACCGGCCGAGGUAAAAUCUCUUGUGAACAUCGUUGCGCUUAACGUAACGACGUGCAGCAGAGAAACUGCUUUGGC